This 97-nucleotide long non-coding RNA is filed under the name Mustela putorius furo (domestic ferret). Its description in RNAcentral is "lncRNA (ENSMPUG00000025274.1)". The record is from RNAcentral. Lineage: Eukaryota; Metazoa; Chordata; Mammalia; Carnivora; Mustelidae.
AAGAGAAUGGGAAAUGUUGGAGAGCUUGCAGAUAUGCAAUUGGAAGCAACAUGUUGGAGGUUAUGGCAUAAUGUUUGCAUAUUUGUGAGUAUGAAGC